AUAUCUGGAGCUCAUAGGUGGGAGACAGCUAAUACAUACUUACAAGACAUUUAUUGCAUAGUCAAACUAUGGAUCCAGAGAAACAAGUCAAUAAGUCAAAUCAAGAUGUGCAUGUGUGGGAAUGAAUGGUGUAUGGUGAUGAUGGUGACAAUGGUGAAAACAUUGGUGAAAGUCUAAUUCUACUUUUGCUCUUUUGAGGGGAUACACACCUUUCUUGCACUUUGAAGCUUUUUGAAGGGAAUGAGAUGCUCUAUAUUUUCUCUUUUUUUCUUAUCUCUCAGGUGGCUAUCUUGUACCCCUAAUUCUACUGUCGGACACUUGUCCAUUUUUACCUCUCGUCUCACUUUUUCUUUUCGUCGAGGUUUCGGGCACUUGCCCCUUUUUAUUUCCUCGUAUUCACUCUUUUUUUUAGAGCACUCACCCUCCUAGAAUAAUGUAGCAAGUGGUAGUAACCAAAAUAUCUCGAGCAUUUAUUUCAUGGGGAAUAACAGGGAUAGGAUAAUUGUUUUUGGCUAUUCUCUCCUUGAUAGGAGUAGAAUAAUUUUAGGUGAAUCUGGAGAUGGAUAUGAAUGGAUGUAUGUAGAUGCGUACUUUUGGAGUAGA
Molecule: long non-coding RNA, 603 nt
Filed under: Sorghum bicolor (sorghum)
Lineage: Eukaryota; Viridiplantae; Streptophyta; Magnoliopsida; Poales; Poaceae
Description: long non-coding RNA (SBIC_LNC012431)
Source: RNAcentral